UACGUAGGGUGCAAGCGUUAAUCGGAAUUACUGGGCGUAAAGCGUGCGCAGGCGGUUAUGCAAGACAGAUGUGAAAUCCCCGGGCUUAACCUGGGAACUGCAUUUGUGACUGCAUAGCUGGAGUACGGCAGAGGGGGAUGGAAUUCCGCGUGUAGCAGUGAAAUGCGUAGAUAUGCGGAGGAACACCGAUGGCGAAGGCAGUCCACUGGCCCAUUACUGACGCUGAGGCACGAAAGCGUGGGGAGCAAACAGG
Molecule: ribosomal RNA, 253 nt
Filed under: uncultured bacterium
Lineage: Bacteria
Description: partial 16S ribosomal RNA
Rfam family: Bacterial small subunit ribosomal RNA
Source: RNAcentral